RNAcentral lists this ribosomal RNA (745 nucleotides) under uncultured Actinomycetes bacterium. Its description in RNAcentral is "bacterial SSU rRNA". It matches the Rfam family "Bacterial small subunit ribosomal RNA", at positions 364 to 1123 of the family's 1533-position model. Lineage: Bacteria; Bacillati; Actinomycetota; Actinomycetes. The record is from RNAcentral.
UUGCGCAAUGGGCGAAAGCUGACGCAGCGACGCCGCGUGGGGGAUGAAGGCCCUCGGGUUGUAAACCCCUUUCGGCAGGGACGAAGCGAUCGUGACGGUACCUGCAGAAGAAGCCUCGGCUAACUACGUGCCAGCAGCCGCGGUAACACGUGGGAGGCGAGCGUUGUCCGGAUUCAUUGGGCGUAAAGAGCGCGCAGGCGGUUUGGCAAGUCGGAUGUGAAAUCCCGAGGCUCAACCUCGGGACUGCAUCCGAUACUGCCCGACUAGAGGUAGGUAGGGGAGAUCGGAAUUCCUGGUGUAGCGGUGAAAUGCGCAGAUAUCAGGAGGAACACCGGUGGCGAAGGCGGAUCUCUGGGCCUUACCUGACGCUCAGGCGCGAAAGCUAGGGGAGCGAACAGGAUUAGAUACCCUGGUAGUCCUAGCCGUAAACGUUGGGCGCUAGGUGUGGGCGGACAUCGACCCCGUCCGUGCCGAAGCUAACGCAUUAAGCACCCCGCCUGGGGAGUACGGCCGCAAGGCUAAAACUCAAAGGGAAUUGACGGGCCCCGKACAAGCGGCGGAGCAUGUUGCUUAAUUCGAUGCGACGCGAAGAACCUUACCUGGGCUUKACAUGCAGGGUGUAAACCCGUGAAUGCGGGCGCUCUUCGGAGCCUGUACAGGUGGUGCAUGGCUGUCGUCAGYUCGUGCCGUGAGGUGUUGCYUUAAGUGGCGCAACGAGYGCAACCCCUGUCYUUAGUUGCCAGCG